UGACACGGAGGGUGGCUUGGGAA
This 23-nucleotide microRNA is filed under the name Homo sapiens (human). RNAcentral describes it as "hsa-miR-4462". Lineage: Eukaryota; Metazoa; Chordata; Mammalia; Primates; Hominidae. The record is from miRBase by way of RNAcentral.